CAGAGAGGUAUUGUCACUCCUGGCAUUGAGAGUUCAGUAUACUCGGGUGUAGGCUGAGACUUCCUUACGUGCCCCCGUGUAUGCGAUGCGUUGCUACUGGUAACUACUGGCCACCAGUGACCGUUACUGGUCAGGUAUCACAGGCUUUCGGACUGUUUGGUCCGAGCAUUCCACUGCUUAGCAGUUUUCCUAGCUGGUGAGCGUAGGCGGUGCUCUCUUCAUUGUUCUACUGACGGUCACCUCUUUCCUUGGCCUACACUGGUAUUUUAUUGCCAAGCUGUUUAACCUGACUUUUUUGGGAUUGGGUAAUCAUGGCUCGUUAAGUCUGCCUGGACUGAGAGGGUGUGGGAGAGGAUGAGCUUGGAAGGUGCUUCAUGUCUAAAGAAUUUGGGCCCAAUUGGUUUAAUUUGCCGCUGAGGUUGUAGUUGUGGGACUGCCGUUUGAUGAGAGAUCUUCAUCCUGAGCAUCUUUUAUAUAUGGGCCUAGGGGGUUUCUGGGUUGUCUUCUGAACCAAAACGAUUACUUUACCUGUGACUUUCAUUCGAUUUAACUUUCCCCACGCAGCAGUUUUCUUAGUAUCAGAAGUGCCUUCAUUUUCAAUGAACUUUUUGUUCCGUACUUACAAAAGGGAAUGUAACGUUUGCUUAAGAAACUGAGGACAGUUUGAUACAGUCAAAGCAAAGUAGUCCUAGCGAUUCUGAGUUUCUGUCUGUGGUUUAUUUCUGUUUCUGAAGACAAAAUUGUUUUCUGCUUCAGAAUUCCCUUUCCUUUCAUUUCAUUGUUUUCUACAACAUGAAACUUAGAUUACUAUUAAGAGAAGAGCAAACAGCCUUGCCUCGGUUAACAAAAAAUGACUUAAUGCUGCUGUGCAGAGCAACUUAAGUAGUAUUAAAAGCUGACAUAAAUUCUUUCUAAUGUCUUACUACGUUAUUCAGAAUUCUUAUUUUCCUCCUGCAUUUAAAUAUAUGUAUUUUUUAAUGUGCUCAAUAAGAGGGAAAACAAACCCGAAAACAGUGUAUGUUUGCAAAUCCUCAAACGUUUGUUCUUAAAUCUCCCUCAAAAAUAAAGAUUUGACCUAAUUUUUUGGUAAUGUCUAAAAUCUUGGCUAAGUAUCAAUGACUUUUGCUUUGUGUGUACUGUAUUAAAAUGUCCUAUUGAUGAUGUGUAGCAUUUUAAUUUUUUUCAUCCAUGCCUAACUUUGCUCUUCUAUGUCAACGUUUUAUCUUCAUACUGCAGAAGUUGUGUUGCCAAAAAUGGAUGAAAUGGAGAAGGUCCAUAGAUGCCAAAUCCUGAAUUUGGAAGACGUUGAGAUAUCUUUUAAGAGUGGAGGAAGUAUCUUCUGCAGAAGACGUGAGAUAACAGGGAGAUGCUGGAAUGCAUGUCUUCUAUUCCAGUUUCUGAAUUGCCUUCUGCUUUUUGAAUGGACACUGUUUACAAACAGCUGUUUUGGACUUGGGUUUUUACUCCAAAUCUUACUAAAACCUCCGACUGGGGGACUGAGUAUGCCAAAAGACUGGUGCUUUCCAUCACCUUGGCAGUUUAAGCUGUUUAUCUUUUUAUCCUUAGCUCCUAAAUCAUAUUUCUCAUCCUGCUCAGGAACACAUUUCCUUGGAAAGCUUAACAAAAGUUAGUGCAUAGCUGCCUGUGUUUGUCACUCACUCGAAUUUUGAUUCCUGUUAACAUGUUUUUUUUUCUUGAUAGCUCACAAAGAAUCUCCAGUAUCAUUGGUGAGCAAUUGGCUGACGGGCAGGGCUCAAAGGGUUGUGGUAAAUGGGGCCACUUCAGGCUGGCAGAUGGUCACCAGUGGGGUCCCCCAAGGCUCCAUUUUAGGGCCAGUCCUCUUCAUUGCUUUUGUAAAUGAUUUGGAUGUAGGACUAGAAGGUGUUUUGAGCAACUUUGCCAAUGACACUAAACUCGAAGGAGUUGUGGACUCUGUUGAGGGUGGAAAGGCCUUGCAGAGAGAUCUGGACAGAUUGGAGAGCUGGGCGAUCACCAGCCGCAUGAAGU
Molecule: long non-coding RNA, 2007 nt
Organism: Cygnus olor (mute swan)
Lineage: Eukaryota; Metazoa; Chordata; Aves; Anseriformes; Anatidae
Exons: 3
Source: RefSeq, a predicted model, not a curated record